RNAcentral lists this ribosomal RNA (363 nucleotides) under uncultured Flavobacteriaceae bacterium. RNAcentral describes it as "bacterial SSU rRNA". It matches the Rfam family "Bacterial small subunit ribosomal RNA", at positions 98 to 460 of the family's 1533-position model. Lineage: Bacteria; Pseudomonadati; Bacteroidota; Flavobacteriia; Flavobacteriales; Flavobacteriaceae. The record is from RNAcentral.
GCGCACGGGUGCGUAACGCGUAUGCAACCUACCUUUUACUAGAGUAUAGCCCAGAGAAAUUUGGAUUAAUCCUCUAUAACAUCUUUUAAUCUCCUGAUUUUAAGAUUAAAGUUUUAACGGUAAAAGAUGGGCAUGCGUCCUAUUAGUUUGUAGGUGAGGUAACGGCUCACCUAGACUACGAUAGGUAGGGGCCCUGAGAGGGGGAUCCCCCACACUGGUACUGAGACACGGACCAGACUCCUACGGGAGGCAGCAGUAAGGAAUAUUGGACAAUGGACGAAAGUCUGAUCCAGCCAUGCCGCGUGCAGGAUGACAGCCCUACGGGUUGUAAACUGCUUUUAUACAGGAAGAAACACUCCGACG